This 30-nucleotide non-coding RNA is filed under the name Macaca fascicularis (crab-eating macaque). RNAcentral also lists the same sequence under 1 other name. The record is from RNAcentral. Lineage: Eukaryota; Metazoa; Chordata; Mammalia; Primates; Cercopithecidae.
UGUCAAUAAGCCACACGCAAAGGUUGGGUC